This 2536-nucleotide ribosomal RNA is filed under the name human gut metagenome. RNAcentral describes it as "bacterial LSU rRNA". It matches the Rfam family "Bacterial large subunit ribosomal RNA", at positions 14 to 2641 of the family's 2925-position model. The record is from RNAcentral.
AGAGCGCAGGGUGGAUGCCUUGGCACUAAGAGCCGAUGAAAGACGUGAUAAGCUGCGAAAAGCUUCGGGGAGGAGCAAAUAUCCAUUGAUCCGGAGAUAUCUGAAUGGGGAAACCCGGCUGAGAAGACCUCAGUCAUCCAUACGCCAAUCCAUAACGUAUGGAAGGGAACCCGGUGAACUGAAACAUCUAAGUAGCCGGAGGAAGAGAAAGAAACAUCGAUUUCCUUAGUAGCGGCGAGCGAAAGGGAAAGAGCCCAAACCGCGGGAUUUAUCCUGCGGGGUUAGGACUGCAUAAUUGAUUCGGGAUUGAUAGGAGAACGGUCUGGGAAGUCCGGCGAAAAAGCGUGAAAGCCGCGUAUCCGAAAUUGAAACCGACAUGGCAGUAUCCAGAGUACCACGAGACACGAGAAACCUUGUGGGAAUGAGCGGGGACCACCCCGUAAGGCUAAAUACUCCUUAGUGACCGAUAGCGCAUAGUACUGUGAAGGAAAGGUGAAAAGGACCCCGGGAGGGGAGUGAAAGAGAACCUGAAACCCUGUGUUUACAAGCUGUCGGAGCACUUUAAAUGUGCGACGGCGUACUUUUUGUAGAACGGUCCGGCGAGUUAUGGCAUGUGGUAAGGUUAAGUACUUCAGGUACGGAGCCGAAGCGAAAGCGAGUGUGAACAGCACGAUAGAAUCGCCUGCCAUAGACCCGAAACCGGGUGAUCUAUCCAUGUCCAGGUUGAAGUUGCCGUAAAAGGCAAUGGAGGACCGAACGCACAUCCGUUGAAAAGGGUGGCGAUGAGGUGUGGGUAGGGGAGAAAUUCCAAUCGAACCCGGAGAUAGCUGGUUCUCCUCGAAAUAGCUUUAGGGCUAGCCUCGUUUUAGUCUUAUGGAGGUAGAGCACUGAAUUUCCUAGGGGGCGUCAAAGCCUACCGAAGAAUAUCAAACUGCGAAUGCCGUACAGAUGAUUUACGGGAGUCAGACUGCACGAGAUAAGUUGGGUGGUCAAAAGGGAAAGAGCCCAGACCUACAGCUAAGGUCCCAAAGUGCGUGUUAAGUGGAAAAGGAUGUGGGAUUUCGAAGACAACUAGGAUGUUGGCUCAGAAGCAGCCACACAUUCAAAGAGUGCGUAAUAGCUCACUGGUCGAGCGUCUUUGCGCGGAGAAUUUAACGGGGCUAAACCUGACACCGAAGCUUAGGCAAUCCAGUAAUGGAUUGGGUAGGGGAGCGUUGUAUACGCGGCGAAACAGUAGCGCAAGCGGCUGUGGAGUGUAUAGAAGUGAGAAUGCCGGAAUGAGUAGCGCGAAUGCAGUGAGAAUCUGCAUGGCCGAAAGCCUCAGGUUUCUGGAGGAAGGUUCGUCCGCUCCAGGUUAGUCGGGAGCUAAGGUGAGGCCUAACGGCGUAGCCGAUGCACAGACGGUAGAGAUUCCGUCACCACCAAAAGAGUUAAGCACAGGGACACAUUUGAAGUCUCGGAGCCGGGUGUUGGUUCCGGUAGCGAUCGAGGGAAGUUAGUACCGAAGUCCGGGAUGGAAGAUGGCGAGAAAAGCUGUGUGUAUUUCUGCGGUGCCCGUACCGCAAACCGACACAGGUAGGUAGGAAGAAGAUUCUAAGGCCAACGGGAGAAGGGUUGUUAAGGAACUCGGCAAAUUGACCCCGUAACUUCGGGAGAAGGGGUGCUCCAGAGAUGGAGCCGCAGAGAAUCGGCCCAAGCAACUGUUUACCAAAAACACAGGUUUGUGCUAAAUCGAAAGAUGACGUAUACGAGCUGACGCCUGCCCGGUGCUGGAAGGUUAAGAGGAGAUGUGCAAGCAUUGAAUCGAAGCCCCAGUGAACGGCGGCCGUAACUAUAACGGUCCUAAGGUAGCGAAAUUCCUUGUCAGGUAAGUUCUGACCCGCAUGAAAGGCGUAAUGAUUUGGGCACUGUCUCAACAGCCCGCCCGGCGAAAUUGUAGUACCGGUGAAGAUGCCGGUUACCCGCGACAAGACGGAAAGACCCCAUGGAGCUUUACUGUAGCCUAAUAUUGGGUUUCGAUGUUGCAUGCACAGGAUAGAUGGGACUCUGGGAAGUGAUCGCUUUGGCGGUCAUGGAGAGGACGUUGGGAUACCAUCCUUGCGAUAUUGGAAUUCUAACCUGCGCCUUUGAAUCAAGGCGGGGGACAUUGUUAGGUGGGCAGUUUGACUGGGGCGGUCGCCUCCUAAAGAGUAACGGAGGCGUUCAAAGGUUCGCUCAGCUUGAACGGAAAUCAAGCAAAAGAGUGCAAACGCAGAAGCGAGCCUAACUGCGAGACUGACGGGUCGAGCAGUAACGAAAGUUGGAGUUAGUGAUCCGGUGGUAUGUGAGUGGAAAUGCCAUCGCUCAACGGAUAAAAGUUACCCUGGGGAUAACAGGCUGAUCUCCCCCAAGAGUCCACAUCGACGGGGAGGUUUGGCACCUCGAUGUCGGCUCAUCGCAUCCUGGGGCUGUAUUCGGUCCCAAGGGUUUGGCUGUUCGCCAAUUAAAGCGGUACGCGAGCUGGGUUCAGAACGUCGUGAGACAGUUCGGUCCCUAU